CCCUCUUGCAAAGGUGUGUCUGUAGUUCCCUGUCUUAGGACAUGUAAGAAUUGGAGCAAAGAAAUGUGGAUUUGGAGAAACUUGGGGUCAGCUUGUUCCCUGCAUGCUUAAGAUCAACCAUCCCACAUAG
Molecule: small nucleolar RNA, 130 nt
Organism: Tupaia belangeri (northern tree shrew)
Lineage: Eukaryota; Metazoa; Chordata; Mammalia; Scandentia; Tupaiidae
Source: Ensembl